RNAcentral lists this ribosomal RNA (485 nucleotides) under uncultured bacterium. Its description in RNAcentral is "bacterial SSU rRNA". It matches the Rfam family "Bacterial small subunit ribosomal RNA", at positions 327 to 804 of the family's 1533-position model. The record is from RNAcentral.
CGCCUUAUACUCCUACGGGAGGCAGCAGUGGGGAAUUUUGGACAAUGGGGGCAACCCUGAUCCAGCAAUGCCGCGUGAGUGAAGAAGGCCUUCGGGUUGUAAAGCUCUUUUGUCAGGGAAGAAACGGUAGUAGCUAAUAUCUAUUACUAAUGACGGUACCUGAAGAAUAAGCACCGGCUAACUACGUGCCAGCAGCCGCGGUAAUACGUAGGGUGCAAGCGUUAAUCGGAAUUACUGGGCGUAAAGCGCGCGCAGGCGGUUGUGUAAGUCAGAUGUGAAAGCCCCGGGCUAAACCUGGGAAGUGCAUUUGAGACUGCACGGCUAGAGUGUGUCAGAGGUGGGUAGAAUUCCACGUGUAGCAGUGAAAUGCGUAGAGAUGUGGAGGAAUACCGAUGGCGAAGGCAGCCCCCUGGGAUAACACUGACGCUCAUGCACGAAAGCGUGGGGAGCAAACGGGAUUAGAAACCCCUGUAGUCCACGUACCA